GGGAGGAGCUGGAGUAGAUGUGACAAUAGCUCGACUAAUCUUGCUGCUGAUAACAAGGACACCAUGACACCAGCUUUGGUAGUACAGAGCCUGCACUAUUUGGAUGAAAGCUUUCAGCCGGGAACAAGCUCAAGCUCAACGUCAUCUGACUCUGAAACAAGCCAGGACAGCCAAAAGGAGACUUGCAGUACAAACAAAUAUUCUGCAAGAGGUCAAAACAGUGGGUGGUGAAGAAGGUGUACAAGCCUAGAACCCACCUCUUCAUUCAGGGAGAGGCUUGUCCACCUGGCUGUGGCGUGCAGAAAGGACCAGACAGUUGUCUUACAAGGAGCCAGAGUCACAGCGCCCUAAACCUAACAUUUCUGCCAACAUCACCACAGCACCAAAGCCUGCUAAACCAGCUGCCAUUAUCCAACACAAGAAGAGGUGCACCAGCUGAAGAGCAUUCUGGAACCUGCCUGGAAUAUUCAGUCUGAGUUGUUGUAGAAUAAUAUAGAAUACCUAGUAUGCUCACAACUGCAUUGUGGUAUAGAUAUGGCUAGUUCCAAUGGUGUUUUAUAUAAUAUGUUUUACAAGUGACCAAAUGAUUCCAGCUGCAUCAGAAACCAAUACAGUGUCGACUUCAACCUCUGGAUCAUUUCAUUGUGAUAUUCAUGCCUUUGCAUGUUGAUAAACUAGCUACAAUCCUACUGCCAAAACAAUACAGGGAGUUGGGUGUAUCAUUUAAACUUGAAUUUGUUGGCAAGUAGACAUGUUUCAAUAAAAACAGUAGAUUAGUCUGUCACUAUAGCAACUAAGUAGACAUGGCUUGUGUUCAAAACAACUUUUAUUUGCUCUGGAGACCAAGGUGAGUUUACACAGCAGUAUGCAGGAACAGUCAUGGCAAUGUAUGACAUAUAUACAUACUACUACCGCCGAUGAUAAAUACUACAGUUUUUUUUUUAAGGAAAUACUUGCAUGUGGUGUGUUUGGGUGGUGCAGUGACGUGUUCGCAGUCACGUUAAUAUAAGUGGAGGUUGUUGUUAUGGGACCCUUCAUAUCUAUUUUUUUUGUUUGUAUCCAAGUAGUUUUGUCUGUGAGAGAAAGAUACAAAAUGCUAUUAGACAUUCAUGGACAAUCGUGAUGAUGUAUAAUAUGAGACAUUAACAGUCACAUGUUAGCUAGCUACAACACAUGGGUAUAGUUACUCCAAGACUAAUAUGAGUCAUAAAGCCAAAGUCCUUCCUUUACUCUUUAUCAUCAUCUAAACAUUUCAACAGUUUUGCUCCUGAUGACAUGGACUGAGGUUAGCUAGGCUAGUUAGCUAAAAUGUUAAGACUACAGUACAUUUUAGGUAUUGCAAACACAGCUAGGUUAACAAAAUUGUACUGUACUAAACAGCACCGCCUUGUGUUAAAAGAUAGCUUAUUUUACUCGUUUGUCAUUUGC
Oncorhynchus mykiss (rainbow trout) is the source of this 1428-nucleotide non-coding RNA. The record is from RefSeq and is a predicted model, not a curated record. NCBI's taxonomy places the organism in Eukaryota, Metazoa, Chordata, Actinopteri, Salmoniformes, Salmonidae.